Molecule: transfer RNA, 70 nt
Filed under: Crocuta crocuta (spotted hyena)
Lineage: Eukaryota; Metazoa; Chordata; Mammalia; Carnivora; Hyaenidae
Also listed under: 1 other name
Rfam family: tRNA
About the family: Transfer RNA (tRNA) molecules are approximately 80 nucleotides in length. Their secondary structure includes four short double-helical elements and three loops (D, anti-codon, and T loops).
Source: Rfam by way of RNAcentral
UGGCUCAGUCGGUUGAGCAUCUGACUUCAGCUCAGGUCAUGAUCUCACAGUUCAUGGGUUCGAGCCCCAU